Small nucleolar RNA from Ochotona curzoniae (black-lipped pika), 127 nucleotides. RefSeq annotates it as small nucleolar RNA SNORA28. The transcript has a single exon. Lineage: Eukaryota; Metazoa; Chordata; Mammalia; Lagomorpha; Ochotonidae. The record is from RefSeq and is a predicted model, not a curated record.
AAGCAAGACUAUGUAGCAGACUGUCAAAACCAUUUGGACAGUUUGAGCUUGCUAUAUAGCAAGAAAGUCUAACCUAUUCCAGUGUUCUCUCCGUUACGAGACAAAUCGUUAUGCAGUCUUAAACAGU